Molecule: long non-coding RNA, 1091 nt
Organism: Chelonoidis abingdonii (Abingdon island giant tortoise)
Lineage: Eukaryota; Metazoa; Chordata; Testudines; Testudinidae
Source: RefSeq, a predicted model, not a curated record
ACCCGAGGAACUGUGUACAAUAGGAACCUCUGAAAGACAGUGUUAUACAAUGGGGACUAUUUGACCACAAUCAGAUACCUCUGCACAGUGGGUGCUGUUUGACCCAGGUCACAGCACGAGAGCCUUCCAGAAACUGGGAGGAAGAAAGAAAAGGUGGACGAUGACAGCCUACAAGAACAACCAGAAACACCUGAGAUACAAAGACUGAACAGUGAGAAGUGAUUGUCCCAGCAAUCUGGAUGAUGGGAAGACAGACACUUUAGCUCAGCUUAGCAUACUGAGAACGAGAAGGAUCUGACAUUAUCAACCACUGAAGAUUAAUCCAGAGAAUUGCUCAAGUUGGUUGAUGACGGUGCGACUAAUUGUGAUGAAUUUCUUGGUGACGUUUUUUUUUUUUGAGAACAAAACCAAACAUAACAACCAAAUUGUCACCCUAUCGACUACUGUAUGGCUUUGAGGCAAGAUUCCCAGAUCAAAUCUCAGACAACUACAUGCCAACAGAUUUUGAGGAACUUGAUGAAUAAUACUACAAAGAGUACAUCAUGAAAAUUGAAGCUAGAUGUGAUGCUGAAACUAAACUGACUAUUAAUAAUAUUUCAAAAGCACAAGAAAAGCAACAAAGACAGUAUGCCAAACUAAGACUCGUAAACAUGGGGAAAUAACAUUCAAGGUUGGUGACACUGUCAUGUUACUGAAUGCGAGAAGGAAAAUAAGAAAAGGGGUACAGCUACAACCUACCUACGUGGGACCAUACAAACUGCCUCUGUAGAAGGCAAAAGAGUUAAAUUAGAAAACAAGUUAAGGAAAGGUUUAGCAAAGUUGUACAGUAUCCCCUAACUAAAAGUAUUUAAAAAGCCUCCAAAAUUAGGUGAGGAAAACAUAUCACAGAGAAAUAUGGAAAAGGAAACUGCUGUGGAUGACACUGUGAAAACCUCAGAGAUCGGAGAAAUGGGAGGGAAUGUAUCUAACAAGCCUCACAACAGUCAAGUGGAGGUCACACACACGGAAAAGGAGGAGUGUGUAGUGUCAGGAGUUUCAAGCAGUCAUCCAGGUGAUUUUGAUGACAUGAUUAUGGAGGAUGAUGAAGACAG